UUUUUUUUUUUUUUUUUUUUGAGAUGGUGUCUCACUCUGUUGCCCAGGCUGGAGCACAGUCGUUCUGAUCUCGACUCACUACAACCUCUGCCUCCCAGGUUCAAGCUAUCCUCCUGCCUCAGCCUCCAGGGUAGCUGGAACUACAGGCAUAUGACACCACACCUGGUUAAUUUUUGUUUUUUUUUUUAAAUAGAGACAAGAGUUUCACCAUGUUGGCCAGGCUGAUCUCAAACUCCUGACCUCAGGUGAUCCGCCUGCCUCGGCCUCCCAAAGUGCUGGGAUUACAGGCGUGAGACACUGCACCCAGCUUGCCCCAUGACUUUUGUACCUGGCUGCUUGGGCUUCCUCACAGCAUGGCCUCUCAGCAUAUUUGGAUUUCUUUUUUUUUUUUUGAGUGUCACUCUCUCUCCAGGCUGGAGUGCAGACUGGAGUUACAGGAGAUGGGACAGAAGAGGAAGUGGUUUCAUGCCCUUCAAAUUAGAUUGUCUAGGUACUUGUCUUUCCCCUCCACGUAAGAUGACUCACUCUUAGUAUAUUCAUGUGUAAAAUUGCUUUGGAUUUUAAGUGCAUGGAAGACCAGGAUCGUGUCACACUAGUGUGUAUUGCACAGCAUAUGACAUAGAACUAUGUUGAAACAGUGCUUAGAACAUGACUUUUGGAGAUGACAGAGAUAGGACCAAGCAGAACUGUCCUCCGGUCAAUUUCUAAAGUACAUGAGAAUACUCUGGGUCCCCCAGCCCAUCCUCUUGCCUUCUUGUAUUCAUUCUCCCCUGUCCCUUGGCCCCUCUCUAUGUUGCCUUUUAGCUUCUCAGAGCCUCCUUGCUUUGGUUCUCAUCCAGUCCAGACAUCCUGGCCGAGACCUCUCUAAAUUAGCCUUCCGUCCCCUCUCCUACCAGUCAAACUCCUCUCUCAUCUAUCCACCAAGGGGAGGGCUAUGUUGUUAAACUAACACUAAUGUAUGAAAGCCCACAUUGCCAGCUUACACUUGCACUAUCUCAUAAAAGUUAAUUUUUAAAUGAGGUGCUUUCAAAUUUCAAUAAGCAAAGGCUUCAGUUGAGAUUAUUUUCUUUUUGCUUUCCUGGCCCUCUGAAGUUAUGCUUUCAGGAAACUGCUUCUCUGAGUGUUAACUCAAGCUGGCCCUCAGAUGCAUUUGUUAUGUUCAAGUGCCCUCUGGAGGCAAAAAUAGUCUCCUGUUAGAUAAAAGACAUGCCUGCCAACGACCCACAAAUGAUUGGCCCCUGUGCUGUGAGGUCCAUUCAUUCCUUUCUUUGUGCAUUCCCAGCACAGCCCUGCCUCGGGGCCUUCAGCUUAGGCAUGGAAAGUUCUUUGGCCUGGAAUAGCUGUCCCAAAGACUGUCCCAUGACUGAUUCCUUCACGCCAUCCACUUUAGCUCAGCAGUGCUCUCAGCCGUGCACCACAUCUAGUCAAGUCGACCUUCCCACUCUGUCAUGUCGCACUGUUUCCUUGUCUUCCGGCACUCAGCACUAUCUGAAAUAAUCUUCCAUUCACUCAACACGUUCAUCGAGUGCCUGACCUAGGUCCUGUCUCAUGCACUUGGGAUAGAUCAAGGUACAAAUGCAACAUGUUCCCUGCCCUGGUGGAAUGUACAGGUCUUGGGAAUCACAUUGUUUCUUUUUUCAUCAUCAGCCUCCCCCCUGGAAUGUAAGCUCCAUGAGAGCAGGGACCCCUGUCAGCCUC
RNAcentral lists this long non-coding RNA (1698 nucleotides) under Macaca fascicularis (crab-eating macaque). RNAcentral describes it as "lncRNA (ENSMFAG00000065164.1)". Lineage: Eukaryota; Metazoa; Chordata; Mammalia; Primates; Cercopithecidae. The record is from RNAcentral.